This 320-nucleotide ribosomal RNA is filed under the name Escherichia coli. RNAcentral's name for it is "bacterial SSU rRNA". It matches the Rfam family "Bacterial small subunit ribosomal RNA", at positions 1 to 315 of the family's 1533-position model. The record is from RNAcentral. Lineage: Bacteria; Pseudomonadati; Pseudomonadota; Gammaproteobacteria; Enterobacterales; Enterobacteriaceae.
UUAAAUUGAAGAGUUUGAUCAUGGCUCAGAUUGAACGCUGGCGGCAGGCCUAACACAUGCAAGUCGAACGGUAACAGGAAGCAGCUUGCUGCUUUGCUGACGAGUGGCGGACGGGUGAGUAAUGUCUGGGAAACUGCCUGAUGGAGGGGGAUAACUACUGGAAACGGUAGCUAAUACCGCAUAACGUCGCAAGACCAAAGAGGGGGACCUUCGGGCCUCUUGCCAUCGGAUGUGCCCAGAUGGGAUUAGCUAGUAGGUGGGGUAAAGGCUCACCUAGGCGACGAUCCCUAGCUGGUCUGAGAGGAUGACCAGCCACACUG